RNAcentral lists this long non-coding RNA (268 nucleotides) under Mytilus galloprovincialis (Mediterranean mussel). Lineage: Eukaryota; Metazoa; Mollusca; Bivalvia; Mytilida; Mytilidae. The record is from RNAcentral.
AAAGGAACUGCGUUGGUGACAUGAAUGGCGUUUGAAGAUGUGACUUAAGCAUUUAGAAUGAGUACAAAGCAAGAAAACAUGCGUUUUGGGAGAGGAAAGACUUAUUGAGGCUAUUCCCACGACUCGGUCUAGUCUUUUUCAGCAUGUAAAGCGUGCAAUAUACCAUGGCGGCUAUGAAUGAGUAACAAGCUUGGAAUUGGUUCCUAUGCUAACUAGUCCAGACGCUUAUGAAUGGCGAAGGAACAAAUAUGAUCCAUGGGAACCCUUU